CAGGACGAACGCUGGCGGCGUGCCUAAUACAUGCAAGUCGAACGGUCUUUCUAUGGAAGCUUGCUCCACUGAGAAGAUAGUGGCGAACGGGUGAGUAACACGUGGGUAACCUGCCCAUAAGAGGGGGGAUAACAUCCGGAAACGGGUGCUAAUACCGCAUAGUUUUCUUGAUCGCAUGAUUGAGAAAGGAAAGACGGCCUUUGUGCUGUCGCUUAUGGAUGGACCCGCGGCGUAUUAGUUAGUUGGUGAGGUAACGGCUCACCAAGACGAUGAUACGUAGCCGACCUGAGAGGUGAUCGGCCACAUUGGGACUGAGACACGGCCCAAACUCCUACGGGAGGCAGCAGUAGGGAAUCUUCCGCAAUGGACGAAAGUCUGACGGAGCAACGCCGCGUGAGUGAAAGAAGGUUUUCGGAUCGUAAAACUCUGUUGUCAGAGAAGAACAAGUUGGAGAGUAACUGCUCCAGCCUUGACGGUAUCUGACCAGAAAGCCACGGCUAACUACGUGCCAGCCGCCGC
This 519-nucleotide ribosomal RNA is filed under the name uncultured bacterium. Its description in RNAcentral is "bacterial SSU rRNA". It matches the Rfam family "Bacterial small subunit ribosomal RNA", at positions 25 to 518 of the family's 1533-position model. The record is from RNAcentral.